This is a long non-coding RNA of Micropterus dolomieu (smallmouth bass), 1690 nucleotides long. RefSeq lists it as uncharacterized. The record is from RefSeq and is a predicted model, not a curated record. NCBI's taxonomy places the organism in Eukaryota, Metazoa, Chordata, Actinopteri, Centrarchiformes, Centrarchidae. The transcript is spliced from 3 exons.
AGCCUUCCUCAUUCCCACAUUUAAAACAAUCUGUAUACAUCUAAAAGUCACACACUGUUUUCAUGUAACAAAGUGCAGUGGCUCGUCACUCACUAUGUUUGUUGUUGUUUUCAGGGCCUGGCGCGGAUCUGACAGGUUCCUGGGGAUGUCCAUGCUUAGGGGUCCGGCCCCUUGGCAGCCCUGAUGAGGACAGCUUCCCAAGCCUGGGGCCACUUGGGCUCUCCAUGCCUGCAAUGGUAGUUGAGGGGUUACAAACACACCGGAGAGACAGACAGCCGGAGGCAAUAUUGGGCUGCUUUCUGACGCUCAUUAAUCCCGUUCCAUUGCUUGUCAAAACAUUAUUAGCGAUGUCCACCGCAUCAAUAGCUUGUGAUGAUGCUGUCUCCUUGUUCUACAAUGCACUUUCUUCAUGUCGGACAUCGGUGCUAUUGGACUGAAGGUUAUCGGAGUGGAGGCACACACAUCAUCUGCGGAGAUGCGACCAGGUGGUUUCCCUGACAACUAGCCAGUUCAUUCCAUCCUGAAAUGACACCAAGUGUCAGUGGGAAGGCAGACUUUUCUCUCCCAGACUGCUGGCAUUUCAGCUCUAAGCCCUGCUCUCCUGAUAGCCGAGGAAGAUGCGCCACCUGUCUCUAGACACAGACAGAUGUAACACGGCACUGGAGUGAACCUGAACCAGGAAACGACGGAGAGAGACAGAAGGAUGGAGAGGCACUGAUAUGACUAGAGGCUUGUACAGACAGAGAGAAAAGCACUUCUCUCAUAGAAAUCCUUUUAAAUGAGCUCCCAAUGGAGUCAUCAGAGCCUAGGUGCAGCAGAGAAGGAGGAGAGGCGGAUAAGAAGAACGGGUUGAACAGCAACCAGGCAAAAUCGACAUGUUCCUCCCUUUCUCUGUCUGCCACGCUCAGAGUUCCAUUCAUAUUCUAAUUCAGAGCUACAGUUCAACUGGCAGACGUCACAUGGAGCUCUGAGUAAAGCUCUGCAAGGAUGGGCAACAUCACAGGUGCGUUUCAAAGGAACAAAGUUAGCAAGACACUCUCCCAAGGCAACCAAGGUGUUGCCAACAACAUAUCUUAUGAGGUGGGGUAGCGGGGUUACUAACAUCGUCAUCCUGUUGUGUGUAGGCAGAUGGCUACACACAAAGGCAUAGACUGACUUUGAUGAAAGUUUGAUGUGUUGAGAAGGAAGGAGAGACUGACAGUUUACCAUAAAGACAUAGCAACAAGCAGAGGGGGAAAAGAAGAAGGAGGGCAGAUCCCCCACUAGGCUGUGAUCUGAAUCCUCCCUCCCAAAGCUUUCCAGAUGUUACAACAAACCCUGCGUUGUUCACACUGCCCUGAGAGAGCUAUGGCUCUGGGCUGUGGAAGACAGCCUCUUUACCUUUCACAGGUUGACUGAUAUAACACAGCCUAGCUUGCUGAAAAUACAUGAAAAAGUGCAAGUGAAGUAUCUAAAAACAACACUCCGUAAUCCAACGAAUCCAAUGAAAGCGUUUUGUACAAGAGGAAACAACAAUGAAGGUUGAAGUGGUGGAUGCGCUUAUCGUCUACAACAAAUAACCUGUGAUUCAUUGAGUUUGUGCUCCAUCCACCUAUCCAUCCAUCCGUCGUCAACCACUUAUCCUGCGCACAGGGUCGCGGGGGGUUGGAGCCAAUCCCAGCUGACAUCGGGCAAAAGGCGGGGUACACCC